This 89-nucleotide transfer RNA is filed under the name Firmicutes bacterium HGW-Firmicutes-12. RNAcentral describes it as "tRNA-Leu". It matches the Rfam family "tRNA". From Rfam's summary of the family: Transfer RNA (tRNA) molecules are approximately 80 nucleotides in length. Their secondary structure includes four short double-helical elements and three loops (D, anti-codon, and T loops). Further hydrogen bonds mediate the characteristic L-shaped molecular structure. tRNAs have two regions of fundamental functional importance: the anti-codon, which is responsible for specific mRNA codon recognition, and the 3' end, to which the tRNAs corresponding amino acid is attached (by aminoacyl-tRNA synthetases). tRNAs cope with the degeneracy of the genetic code in two manners: having more than one tRNA (with a specific anti-codon) for a particular amino acid; and 'wobble' base-pairing, i.e. permitting non-standard base-pairing at the 3rd anti-codon position. The record is from RNAcentral. Lineage: Bacteria; Bacillati; Bacillota.
GCCCGAGUGGCGGAAUCGGCAGACGCACGGGACUUAAAAUCCCGCGAGGUUUACCCCUCGUACCAGUUCAAGUCUGGUCUCGGGCACCA